GCGGAAGGAUCAUUAUUGAAUGAAAAUGGCUUGAGGCUGUAGCUGGCUCUUGGGAGCAUGUGCACGUCUCUUGCCUAUUUGCUUUUAUCCACCUGUGCACAAUUGUAGACUACUUGGGAUUGAGGGGCCUUUACCAGCCUCUUGCUGACGAAGUCCAAGUGUCUAUGUCAAUUUUUAACACAUACAAUUGCAUGUCUAGAGAAUGUAGUUCUAAUGCAGCUCUGAUUAUGGGCAUUUAAACAAAAAUAUAUAACUUUCAACAAUGGAUCUCUUGGCUCUCGCAUCGAUGAAGAACGCAGCGAAAUGCGAUAAGUAAUGUGAAUUGCAGAAUUCAGUGAAUCAUCGAAUCUUUGAACGCACCUUGCGCUCCUUGGUACUCUGAGGAGCAUGCCUGUUUGAGUGUCAUUAAAAUUCUCAAAACCUACAUUUGAUUAUGUGGUGGUUUUGGACUAUGGGAUUGCUGGUUCUCGUUGUGGACUCUAGCUCUCCUGAAAUGCAUGAGUAGGGUUAAUGCAAUAUAUGCUCUAUGGUGUGAUAAGAUGGGGAAUGUCGAACACCCUUGGAGUUGUUGUAUAGCCUGCUAUCUAACASUCCGUUGGACAAAUUGACAAAGUUGACCUCAGA
This 624-nucleotide ribosomal RNA is filed under the name Amanita longipes. RNAcentral's name for it is "eukaryotic LSU rRNA". The stretch from base 252 to 405 matches the Rfam family "5.8S ribosomal RNA". The record is from RNAcentral. Lineage: Eukaryota; Fungi; Basidiomycota; Agaricomycetes; Agaricales; Amanitaceae.